GUGACGAGUGGCGGACGGGUGAGGAAUACAUCCCGAAUCUACUUUUUCGUGGGGGAUAACGUACGGAAACUUACACUAAUACCGCCUACGACCUACGGUUGAAAGCCCGGGACCUUUUAGGCCUGGCGCGGAUUAAUGAGCCAAUGUCCUAUUAACUUGUUGGCGGGGUAAAGGCCCACCUCCGCGACGAUCGGUAGCUGGUCUG
This 205-nucleotide ribosomal RNA is filed under the name uncultured bacterium. Its description in RNAcentral is "partial 16S ribosomal RNA". It matches the Rfam family "Bacterial small subunit ribosomal RNA", at positions 88 to 294 of the family's 1533-position model. The record is from RNAcentral.